ACAGUUCUGUGGUCAGAUAGCUCC
RNAcentral lists this non-coding RNA (24 nucleotides) under Arabidopsis thaliana (thale cress). The record is from RNAcentral. Lineage: Eukaryota; Viridiplantae; Streptophyta; Magnoliopsida; Brassicales; Brassicaceae.